Molecule: long non-coding RNA, 1929 nt
Organism: Oncorhynchus keta (chum salmon)
Lineage: Eukaryota; Metazoa; Chordata; Actinopteri; Salmoniformes; Salmonidae
Exons: 6
Source: RefSeq, a predicted model, not a curated record
GGUUAGAGGUCAAACAGCAUACACAGGGGCCACGUUACAGUUCAGAAAUAUGUUUUAAACCAUUUCACCUGCUUUUUAUAUUGCGUGUGUUUUGUUUUGUUUUGUUUUGCUUCAAAUAGAGUGAUCAGAUCAUUUUCCUUCAGAAAAUACAUUACUGCAACAUGUUUAGGUCUACCAUAGGAAGAAUGUAGGCAGCUACAUUUCCUAAUGUUUAGGCCUACCAUAGGAAGAAUGUAGACAGCUACAUUUCUAAUGUUUAGGUCUACCAUAGGAAGAAUGUAGGCAGCUACAUUUCUAAUGUUUAGGCCUACCAUAGGAAGAAUGUAGGCAGCUACAUUUCUAAUGUUUAGGUCUACCAUAGGAAGAAUGUAGACAGCUACAUUUCCUAAUGUUUAGGCCUACCAUAGGAAGAAUGUAGACAGCUACAUUUCUAAUGUUUAGGUCUACCAUAGGAAGAAUGUAGGCAGCUACAUUUCUAAUGUUUAGGUCUACCAUAGGAAGAAUGUAGGCAGCUACAUUUCUAAUGUUUAGGUCUACCAUAGGAAGAAUGUAGACAGCUACAUUUCCUAAUGUUUAGGCCUACCAUAGGAAGAAUGUAGACAGCUACAUUUCUAAUGUUUAGGUCUACCAUAGGAAGAAUGUAGGCAGCUACAUUUCUAAUGUUUAGGCCUACCAUAGGAAGAAUGUAGGCAGCUACAUUUCUAAUGUUUAGGUCUACCAUAGGAAGAAUGUAGGCAGCUAUAUUUCUAAUGUUUAGGUCUACCAUAGGAAGAAUGUAGGCAGCUAUAUUUCUAAUGUUUAGGCCUACCAUAGGAAGAAUGUAGACAGCUACAUUUCUAAUGUUUAGGUCUACCAUAGGAAGAAUGUAGGCAGCUAUAUUUCUAAUGUUUAGGCCUACCAUAGGAAGAAUGUAGACAGCUACAUUUCUAAUGUUUAGGCCUACCAUAGGAAGAAUGUAGACAGCUACAUUUCUAAUGUUUAGGCCUACCAUAGGAAGAAUGUAGGUAGCUACAUUUCUAAUGUUUAGGUCUACCAUAGGAAGAAUGUAGGCAGCUACAUUUCUAAUGUUUAGGUCUACCAUAGGAAGAAUGUAGGCAGCUACAUUUCUAAUGUUUAGGCCUACCAUAGGAAGAAUGUAGACAGCUACAUUUCUAAUGUUUAGGUCUACCAUAGGAAGAAUGUAGACAGCUACAUUUCUAAUGUUUAGGUCUACCAUAGGAAGAAUGUAGACAGCUACAUUUCUAAUGUUUAGGUCUACCAUAGGAAGAAUGUAGACAGCUACAUUUCUAAUGUUUAGGUCUACCAUAGGAAGAAUGUAGGCAGCUACAUUUCUAAUGUUUAGGCCUACCAUAGGAAGAAUGUAGACAGCUACAUUUCUAAUGUUUAGGUCUACCAUAGGAAGAAUGUAGACAGCUACAUUUCUAAUGUUUAGGUCUACCAUAGGAAGAAUGUAGACAGCUACAUUUCCUAAUGUUUAGGCCUACCAUAGGAAGAAUGUAGGUAGCUACAUUUCUAAUGUUUAGGUCUACCAUAGGAAGAAUGUAGGCAGCUACAUUUCCUAAUGUCUUACAUUCAACAGGAGAAAAAUAGAGCGCUGCCUGCCGAUAGAAGGUAUCAGUCAGAGCGCUGAUAGAAGGUAUCAGUCAGAGCGCUGAUAGAAGGUAUCAGUCAGAGCGCUGAUAGAAGGUAUCAGUCAGAGCGCUGAUAGAAGGUAUCAGUCAGAGCGCUGCCUGCUGAUAGAAGUGGCUUUAUAAAAAGCAGCAAGAUCUUAUGCAUUUCAUCUUUUUUUUGUGUGUGAAAAGGGCAGAAUUCUGCAUUAACAUGACCCCUGAUACGUUACUGCUGAUAAUGACUAGAGGAAACUGAAACAUUGAAAACAGCAUUGGAACACAUGAAAAGCUGGUAAAGUUGUUUCUAGCUGAAGUAAGA